AAAUUUAAAAAUCAUUUUUAGAAACUAGAAAUUAAAAGAAAAAUAAUGCAAUUGGUCCCAUAUUUUUUGGACCAAUAAUAAAAGAGAUAUGGAUUUUAGAAAUAAAAUGGAAUUAAAAGAAAUAAAAGAAAACAAAAUCAGAAAUAAGAAAAUAUGAAAGAGGGGAGGCGUUGGAUGAUGGCUCAUUAAUUGAGCUGGCACAUCACACGGCCUCUGAGCGU
Molecule: long non-coding RNA, 221 nt
Filed under: Lathyrus oleraceus (garden pea)
Lineage: Eukaryota; Viridiplantae; Streptophyta; Magnoliopsida; Fabales; Fabaceae
Description: Pisum sativum (pea) long non-coding RNA (PSAT_LNC011480)
Source: RNAcentral